Molecule: ribosomal RNA, 286 nt
Filed under: uncultured Desulfobulbus sp.
Lineage: Bacteria; Pseudomonadati; Thermodesulfobacteriota; Desulfobulbia; Desulfobulbales; Desulfobulbaceae
Description: partial 16S ribosomal RNA
Rfam family: Bacterial small subunit ribosomal RNA
Source: RNAcentral
CGCAACCCUUGCCUUUAGUUGCCAGCAGUUCGGCUGGGCACUCUAAAGGGACUGCCGGUGUUAAACCGGAGGAAGUGGGGGAUGACGGUCAAGUCCUCAUGGCCUUUAUGACCAGGGCUACACACGUACUACAAUGGCCGAUACAAAGGGCAGCGACACUGCGAGGUGAAGCCGAUCCCGUAAAAUCGGUCUCAGUCCGGAUUGGAGUCUGCAACUCGACUCCAUGAAGUUGGAAUCGCUAGUAAUCGUGGAUCAGCAUGCCACGGUGAAUACGUUCCCGGGCCUU